Molecule: long non-coding RNA, 636 nt
Organism: Brassica napus (rape)
Lineage: Eukaryota; Viridiplantae; Streptophyta; Magnoliopsida; Brassicales; Brassicaceae
Exons: 2
Source: RefSeq, a predicted model, not a curated record
UAUAGAGGAAGCCUCUUAAUUUCCCCAAAUUCAACUCUUUCACUCUCGACGAACCCUAAUUUUCAAAUCGAUGAAUCUGUGACUACUGAGUGUGCAUUUCAGAGCGAGAAACGUGAUGGAGAGAAUGAAUUUUCCAAGCCCAAGUAUAUUGGGCUUCAGAUGGAUCUUACAAUGGUGGUCAGACUAAAUGUUUUUGAGUGGAUUUCAGAAGACCGACACUUGAAAUGCUGAAAGAUGUUGCUUUAACAAGUGGUUAUGCAGAGAAUAUGUGUGAGGUUUCUUACUUCCCUAGUCGAGCUGUUGGGGCGGCGGAUCGUGUGGACUUGGUAGCUGAUAAUGAUGUAGAAAACAUGAUUAGAUGUUUAGACGACGUGGAUAUAGCAUGAAUAUAUAUGGCGUUAGGGAAGAUGAUCCAUAUUUAGAUGAUGUGCUUGUAGGAAAUGUAGAAGAAGAGGAGGAACAAGAGAGUGAUGACGAGUCAUGUGAUUUUUAUAGAAAUGAUUAUGUUGAGAGUGAUGGGUCUGAUGAUGAUGAAGAUCGCCGAAUUGAGUUUUAUGUAGGUGAACAGUUUGUUUCGAAAUAAAAGUGUAAGGAGACAAUCGAGAAGUAUGAUAUUAACGAGAAGGUUAACAUACA